CGCGUAGGCGGCUAGAAAAGUCGGAUUUGAAAUCCCGGGGCUCAACUCCGGAACUGGAUCCGAAACUGUCAUGCUGGAGCGUGUCAGAGGAUAGCGGAAUUCCCGGUGUAGCGGUAAUAUGCGUAGAUAUCGGGAGGAACACCUGUGGCGAAAGCGGCUAUCUGGGGCGAUUGCUGACGCUGAGGAACGAAAGCCAGGGGAGCGAACG
This 208-nucleotide ribosomal RNA is filed under the name uncultured bacterium. RNAcentral's name for it is "partial 16S ribosomal RNA". It matches the Rfam family "Bacterial small subunit ribosomal RNA", at positions 568 to 774 of the family's 1533-position model. The record is from RNAcentral.